CGCCAGCUAACCGUGAGCCUCGAUAUUGAAAUUCUCGAUAAACGAAUAUGUGAUACACGCUAUUACAUUAUACGUAUAACACAUAUACAUAUACAUAUAGUUUGUGGCUGAAUGAGAUCCGGUCGAGAAGCUGAUAACGUAUCGUGUACACGCACACUCCAUUCCGUGGACCGCCCCAACUCAACUUUUUUGAAAACGUGCGGCGAAGCAGCUGUCGUUAUAGUCGAAGGCUGGAGCAGCCUGCGCUGCAUGGACCUACUACAAGAAUAUAAUUAGUUUACCAAGAACGAACGGACGACUGGGCCCUGGUUAUAGUUCCGCGUGCCUGAGUGUGCGUGUGAGCCACUUGAGUCCCCCCCAAAGGCGAAGGAACGGUCCUCGGCUUACACCGGGCAAGCGAGUCGAGAGCCAGGGUCGUUUCUUUUCUAUCAGAAGCUUGAACAGCCACGGACUUUGUCUCGGAAACACGUGCGUGUCCCUCCGUAGCGAAAACGAAAUUCAGGAGCAGAAAGAAGACCUUCGACGAUGCAAGAAUAUCCAGCGGCUCUCAUCGGUCGUCUUCAUCGUUUCGACAGCGAUAUUCUCUCCUGAAUAUCCGUACUACGUGCGCAAGUGAUUAACUGCAAAGUGCCCAAAGUCCCUUAUCAUUCUCUAGCCCGGUGUUAAAUGUUCGAUACCUACUGGACGGAGAACUGAUAAGGGCCCGCGGGAUACGAACUCAUCGUGGGAAAUUUUUCAAUCAAUAUCGAAUCAAUUUUCUCUUUAGUUACUUUGAUUAUUGGUAAUCGUAUUUGUCUUUUUUUUUCGCAGGGCGUGAAAAAGAACGCCCGCGUUUUGUUCACGUACACAUAAUUACACUUAUACCCAUGCAUAUCAAAAAAAAUUAAAAAAAAAAAAAAUAGAAAGAACGAAAGAAAAUUCAUAGAGAACAAUCGACGACGAAUUGAAGAAUUUCUGUGCAGAAAAUUGGACGGGAAAACUACGAACGACGGUAUAAUUGAGAACGCGUUUGCCGUGACCGUGAACCUAGAACAGUUAUAAUAUCUUUUCUUACAUGCCAUUGUAAAUAAAGUAUACAUAUUAUAAUAAGAGGAUGAGAGAAACGAAGUCUUAAGCAGUAAGAGAUUAUCUAUCGUUGAACAUUGUAUGCCAACAAGAAUUUGUACUGGGUUGACACGCACAAAGGUCGAGUAAGUAUAGAGAUUGUUUAAGGGUAUGUCGUACUCCUAGAUUUAUCGAACGAGCAAACUCACAAUUUUUCUUUCUGUGUUAAAUAAAGAAAGAAACGGGAAGAGUUCGAAUUUUAACGGUGCAUCGUUCUUUCGUAGCGGAAUCCAGGAAAGUCAUCCGUAUCCCGAAACUCGUCAAGUAAAUGUGUGUGUGUGUUUUUUUUUUUUUUUUUUUUUGACACUUGUUAUUAUUCCCACAUUUCCCGAAUUUUAGGGGCCAAAAAGUGCAUGGUUGAGAUACUUUGGGUAAUUGCGAAAAGAAUGAGGAGUAAAAUGAAUCAUCGUGAGACUGAUUCCAUGCAAUAUUGAGAUCGUUAGACGAGACCUAGGAAUUACAAUAAUUUCGCAAGCUGUAAGUUUGCAAGUAUUAUAAAUUUCGACUUUGUAUCAUAUGUAUGUAUGGCAGUACCGAUGAAGGAUUCACCGCGACGCGCUAUCAUAAGAGCGAAACUUCGCGAUUUACAAGUCAAUGUCAAUUCAAUCCGUAUACGGAUUGAUGAAAAAACAAACUGUGUGAUAAAAUCGUUUGGUGUAUAAUAAUAAAUACAGAUUCGCUGGAUUGAAGAAUAAAAAUUGAUCACUGCGUUGUUCGCUUGCUCUUAUCUCUCCGACUCGCUUCAUCUACUUGAUUUUUUGCGAAUAGUAAUUUAUUGUUGCCGCAGCGCGUUGCGAUAUAAAAAGAGAACGAGAACCGAGGGCUUUGAAACUGAUUCAUCGUCGGAUACGAAAUCCUUCGCCUUCUCACGUACGUCGCGAUCGGGAAACGUGUACGUCUACCGAGAUAUUUGGCAGCCGCCGAGUUCUGAAGAGGAGGAAUAAAAAAUGAGUGCAAAAAAGGACUAGUCAGGGCAGUUUGGGAAACCCUGGAGUCAUUAUUACGACAAUCUGCGAGAGGCUGCUUCACAGACUUUAUACUACGCUUUCUAAAUUGCCAAAUCAUGUGCAUAAGUGAGCAAGUCUAUGAUAUACAUAUAGCGCAAUUCGGUUCGCGGUUAUUAUUUCGUCAUGUUAUAUUUUGCUUUUCAUGUUUAUUUUUGAUUAUUAUCCGGUACAAGUUUAAAAAACAAUAGAGAUCCAGCAGCGUUUCUUCCUUUACCGUACUAUUUCUUUUGCGCUAGAAUGCCGAACACGUGUUUUGUACUCUUUUGAAGUCUCGAAUGUUGUUUGAGGUACGCCGAAUCUAAUCUCGCACGUUUCGCUUAUACUGUGUUUAAGAGUUAAGUUCAAUAAACCGAAAUGAAGCUGAAGCUGGCAGCCAGUGUUAGCAGCUAAAUGUGUUCAAUUUUUUGAAAGUAGUAAAAUGCAGUUCAGUUUUACCCUCACAAUUCUAUAAAAGUAUUGGGCAAUAAAGGUGUUUCAAAAAAUUUUAACUCUCCCACUUUACUACCUUAUUCGAAAGAGAACAUUUUUUUUUCACGGAAGAAUAAUGAAUGAUUACAUUUUACAUUUCCGUGAAUAACAGAUGAUUUUGCACUUGUAUCUAAAAGUUUAAUUGCGCGAUCGCCGAAGUUUUUGGCUAGUUGUCAUUUAACAAUUUACAGUGUUUUUCGAUUUCAGCCUGACUUACAAAAUAUUACACGUGUAUUUAUGUAAACGGAAUGUUUUAAAUAAACAAAUAAAUCCCCUAUGGAAAGAUUUUGAAAAAUUCAACCCUUUACCCUUUCUUGAUUUCCUCCUUACUCGUACUUUUCCAAUUCAUCGAUGUUUGUAUAAAAUAUGUAAUUAUUUAGACAGGAGGUAAGUGAAUGAACGAGACGUGUAUACUUUCAUUAAACAUAGGUAUAUUUAUUACACAAUGUUAUUCCUUGCGUAAAUACAAUACGUCAUUUUAUCCCUUACGCGUGAUUUUAAGUGUCGACAAAUCUUGUAAAACGUAAAUACUUACGAAGCGCAGAUUGAAAAAUCGGUUAUCGGGAUACUCGAACGGAAACCCAUCACAGCAUGGGGCUGACCGCGAUAAUCGUGAUCAAUAUCGGCGUCCCAUACACGGAUGUGUAAAUAAAUAAAUUGGUGAAAUCGAUUCAUUCGUCAU
This 3261-nucleotide long non-coding RNA is filed under the name Neodiprion lecontei (redheaded pine sawfly). RNAcentral's name for it is "uncharacterized LOC124293382, transcript variant X2". The stretch from base 628 to 713 matches the Rfam family "mir-184 microRNA precursor family". The record is from RNAcentral. Lineage: Eukaryota; Metazoa; Arthropoda; Insecta; Hymenoptera; Diprionidae.